RNAcentral lists this non-coding RNA (76 nucleotides) under Bradyrhizobium sp. SBR1B. Lineage: Bacteria; Pseudomonadati; Pseudomonadota; Alphaproteobacteria; Hyphomicrobiales; Nitrobacteraceae. The record is from RNAcentral.
AGAAGCCGGAUGAAUCGAGAGGUUCACGUCCGGUUUCGUGAGAGCCUCGGGGUGCAAUUCCCCGGGGCUACUCGAC